RNAcentral lists this long non-coding RNA (454 nucleotides) under Brassica rapa (field mustard). RNAcentral describes it as "long non-coding RNA (BRAP_LNC002060)". The record is from RNAcentral. Lineage: Eukaryota; Viridiplantae; Streptophyta; Magnoliopsida; Brassicales; Brassicaceae.
UUUAAUAUCAAUGUGAAUUUUAAAAAACAGAAGGAAAAAAACUUUGCAGGCUAUAUUAGAUAUCAGAGCUCAAGGAAACGCCUCUGUUAAUGUUGAAAAGAUGGCAAAAUAGGUGCUGCCUGCUUAAUUUCAAAAAACAAAACAGAGGUGUAUGUACAUGUCUGUAUUAGUUUUUUUUUUAGUUUCUCAAGAAAUUGGUCCUCGUUCUCUGCCAUAUGUUGAACCUUGCAAAUAAAGAAACAGAUGAGUAGAAGAGACAAAAGAAAGCGAGUUUGCUGGACUUUUAGCGUAAGAAGGUGACGAAACCCGCCAGCCAACUGCCAAUGUCACAAUUAAAGGGUGAAAGAAACAGCCGAACUUUGUUUGUUUCAUUGACCACAAGAAAGAACCCUUGAAGACGUCAAAGAAGAUCGUACGUCGACACCUACUUUCAUCUCUUCCCCUCUCCUUCGCA